GACGAACGCUGGCGGCGUGCCUAAUACAUGCAAGUAGAACGCUGAAGGAGGAGCUUGCUUCUCUGGAUGAGUUGCGAACGGGUGAGUAACGCGUAGGUAACCUGCCUGGUAGCGGGGGAUAACUAUUGGAAACGAUAGCUAAUACCGCAUAAGAGUAGAUGUCGCAUGACAUUUGCUUAAAAGGUGCAAUUGCAUCACUACCAGAUGGACCUGCGUUGUAUUAGCUAGUUGGUGAGGUAACGGCUCACCAAGGCAACGAUACAUAGCCGACCUGAGAGGGGGAUCGGCCGCACUGGGACUGAGACACGGCCCAGACUCCUACGGGAGGCAGCAGUAGGGAUUCUUCGGCAAUGGACGGGAGACUGACCGAGCAACGCCGCGUGAGUGAAGAAGGUUUUCGGAUCGUAAAGCUCUGUUGUAAGAGAAGAACGGGUGUGAGAGUGGAAAGUUCACACUGUGACGGUAUCUUACCAGAAAGGGACGGCUAACUACGUG
This 495-nucleotide ribosomal RNA is filed under the name uncultured bacterium. RNAcentral describes it as "partial 16S ribosomal RNA". It matches the Rfam family "Bacterial small subunit ribosomal RNA", at positions 28 to 507 of the family's 1533-position model. The record is from RNAcentral.